RNAcentral lists this non-coding RNA (24 nucleotides) under Cricetulus griseus (Chinese hamster). The record is from RNAcentral. Lineage: Eukaryota; Metazoa; Chordata; Mammalia; Rodentia; Cricetidae.
UCACCUUUGUUUUCAAUAAACUGU